CUGUGAGAACAUCAGCAGUGGAUGAUUACCCCAAAGAAAAGGGGGCAUUUUUGUACCCACCCCUAAGAGCUGCUCCCUAGGGGAGGCUCUCCUAUAUAUGAGGUAUUAGUUAUAGGGUCCUACAUAGAGCUACCGCAAGAGAGAGAGAGAGAGAGAGAUGAGGGCAUUGCGUUUGCAUGAUAGGGAAAGGAAAAUCUCAUGAUGGUGGUGUCAAUAUCAGGCAAAAUUUAACACAAUCUAAAAAGUUGCACUUUGGGAGGCUCAGUAGUCAGUUCUGUACCAAAGCACAGAUGGCAUGCAUACCAACUAUUAUCUUGAUUGUUGAGGAAUAUGCUUCGUUUAUCCUUAGUGCAUCCCUUAGCGUGCCCUGAUCCACUUUUUUUCACGAAAAACCCGGUCUGGCACUCAUUCUGGUUACGCUAAGGGUAUGUCAAGCAGUGCUCUUAUCUCAAAGAGAAGAAGGAACAAAAAAGACAUGCAAACAAAUUGAAAAAGGAGAGGUAAUGCAAGAAUUACAUGGCAUGCAUACUAGAG
This 534-nucleotide long non-coding RNA is filed under the name Elaeis guineensis (African oil palm). RNAcentral describes it as "long non-coding RNA (EGUI_LNC024460)". The record is from RNAcentral. Lineage: Eukaryota; Viridiplantae; Streptophyta; Magnoliopsida; Arecales; Arecaceae.